AGCAGCCGCGGUAAUUCCAGCUCCAAUAGCGUAUAUUAAAGUUGUUGCAGUUAAAAGCUCGUAGUUGAAUUUCGGGAUCAAUAUGUUGGUCGUGCCUCGGUACGUACUAGCAUAUUGGUUUCUCCUUUCUGAAGAACCAUGAUGUCAUUUAUUUGGUGUCGUGGGGAAUCAGGACUGUUACUUUGAAAAAUUAGAGUGUUUAAAGCAGGCUCACGCUUGAAUACAUUAGCAUGGAAUAAUGAAAUAGGACGUUUGAUUCUAUUUUGUUGGUUUCUAGGAUCGACGUAAUGAUUAAUAGGGAUAGUUGGGGGCAUUAGUAUUCAAUUGUCAGAGGUGAAAUUCUUGGAUUUAUUGAAGACUAACUACUGCGAAAGCAUUUGCCAAGGAUGUUUUCAUUAAUCAAGAACGAAAGUUAGGGGAUCGAAGACGAUCAGAUACCGUCGUAGCCUUAACCAUAAACUAUGCCGACUAGAGAUCGGAUGAUGUUAAUUUUUAAUGACUCAUUCC
RNAcentral lists this unclassified non-coding RNA (507 nucleotides) under uncultured Glomus. RNAcentral describes it as "SSU rRNA". It matches the Rfam family "Eukaryotic small subunit ribosomal RNA", at positions 569 to 1082 of the family's 1831-position model. Lineage: Eukaryota; Fungi; Glomeromycota; Glomeromycetes; Glomerales; Glomeraceae. The record is from RNAcentral.